This 468-nucleotide ribosomal RNA is filed under the name uncultured bacterium. Its description in RNAcentral is "partial 16S ribosomal RNA". It matches the Rfam family "Bacterial small subunit ribosomal RNA", at positions 28 to 507 of the family's 1533-position model. The record is from RNAcentral.
GACGAACGCUGGCGGCGUGCUUAACACAUGCAAGUCGAACGGAAAGGCCCUGCUUUUGUGGGGUGCUCGAGUGGCGAACGGGUGAGUAACACGUGAGUAACCUGCCCUUGACUUUGGGAUAACUUCAGGAAACUGGGGCUAAUACCGGAUAGGAGCUCCUGCUGCAUGGUGGGGGUUGGAAAGUUUCGGCGGUUGGGGAUGGACUCGCGGCUUAUCAGCUUGUUGGUGGGGUAGUGGCUUACCAAGGCUUUGACGGGUAGCCGGCCUGAGAGGGUGACCGGCCACAUUGGGACUGAGAGACGGCGCAGACUGCUACGGGAGGCAGCAGUGGGGAGUAUUGCACAAUGGGCGGAAGCCUGAUGCAGCAACGCCGCGUGCGGGAUGACGGCCUUCGGGUUGUAAACCGCUUUCGCCUGUGACGAAGCGUGAGUGACGGUAAUGGGUAAAGAAGCACCGGCUAACUACGUG